Molecule: transfer RNA, 68 nt
Filed under: Cavia porcellus (domestic guinea pig)
Lineage: Eukaryota; Metazoa; Chordata; Mammalia; Rodentia; Caviidae
Rfam family: tRNA
About the family: Transfer RNA (tRNA) molecules are approximately 80 nucleotides in length.
Source: Rfam by way of RNAcentral
GGGGAUUUAGCUCAGUGGCAUAAGCACCUGCCUUGCAAGCAGGCAGGCUGUCGUGAGUUCGAUCCCCG